This 468-nucleotide ribosomal RNA is filed under the name uncultured bacterium. Its description in RNAcentral is "partial 16S ribosomal RNA". It matches the Rfam family "Bacterial small subunit ribosomal RNA", at positions 28 to 507 of the family's 1533-position model. The record is from RNAcentral.
GACGAACGCUGGCGGCGUGCUUAACACAUGCAAGUCGAACGGAAAGGCCCUGCUUUUGUGGGGUGCUCGAGUGGCGAACGGGUGAGUAACACGUGAGUAACCUGCCCUUGACUUUGGGAUAACUUCAGGAAACUGGGGCUAAUACCGGAUAGGAGCUCCUGCUGCAUGGUGGGGGUUGGAAAGUUUCGGCGGUUGGGGAUGGACUCGCGGCUUAUCAGCUUGUUGGUGGGGUAGUGGCUUACCAAGGCUUUGACGGGUAGCCGGCCUGAGAGGGUGACCGGCCACAUUGGGACUGAGAUACGGCACAGACUCCUACGGGAGGCAGCAGUGGGGAAUAUUGCACAAUGGGUGGAAGCCUGAUGCAGCAACGCCGCGUGCGGGAUGACGGCCUUCGGGUUGUAAACCGCUUUCGCCUGUGACGAAGCGUGAGUGACGGUAAUGGGUAAAGAAGCACCGGCUAACUACGUG